RNAcentral lists this ribosomal RNA (274 nucleotides) under uncultured bacterium. RNAcentral's name for it is "partial 16S ribosomal RNA". It matches the Rfam family "Bacterial small subunit ribosomal RNA", at positions 523 to 796 of the family's 1533-position model. The record is from RNAcentral.
AUACGAAGGGGGCUAGCGUUGUUCGGAAUAACUGGGCGUAAAGCGCACGUAGGCGGAAUGUUAAGUUAGAGGUGAAAUCCCAGGGCUCAACCCUGGAACUGCCUUUAAUACUGGCAAUCUAGAGAUCGAGAGAGGUGAGUGGAAUUCCGAGUGUAGAGGUGAAAUUCGUAGAUAUUCGGAGGAACACCAGUGGCGAAGGCGGCUCACUGGCUCGAUACUGACGCUGAGGUGCGAAAGCGUGGGGAGCAAACAGGAUUAGAAACCCCAGUAGUCC